This 403-nucleotide ribosomal RNA is filed under the name Verrucomicrobiota bacterium. RNAcentral describes it as "Verrucomicrobia bacterium partial 16S ribosomal RNA". It matches the Rfam family "Bacterial small subunit ribosomal RNA", at positions 355 to 776 of the family's 1533-position model. Lineage: Bacteria; Pseudomonadati; Verrucomicrobiota. The record is from RNAcentral.
UUGGGAAUAUUGCACAAUGGGGGAAACCCUGAUGCAGCGACGCCGCGUGAGCGAAGAAGGCUUUCGAGUCGUAAAGCUCUGUCCUAUGAGAAGAUAAUGACGGUAUCAUAGGAGGAAGCCCUGGCUAAAUACGUGCCAGCAGCCGCGGUAAUACGUAUGGGGCGAGCGUUGUCCGGAAUUAUUGGGCGUAAAGGGUACGUAGGCGGUUUUUUAAGUCAGGUGUCAAAGCGUGGAGCUUAACUCCAUUAAGCACUUGAAACUGAAAGACUUGAGUGAAGGAGAGGAAAGUGGAAUUCCUAGUGUAGCGGUGAAAUGCGUAGAUAUUAGGAGGAAUACCGGUGGCGAAGGCGACUUUCUGGACUUUUACUGACGCUCAGGUACGAAAGCGUGGGGAGCAAACAGG